CUAUAUCUAUAUAAAGUUAGUUUACUGUGGUAUUAUCAUUGAUUAUGAAAAGAAAAGUAAAGCUAGGUUAUGAGGAUUUUUUUUUUAUUUUGGAAUGUCAUGAAUAAAGCCAGAGGAAUCUGAAUAUCUGGCAAAAACUCAAAUACAGGAGGCCUUUUUUAUAUUCAACUGCAGGUUAUGAUAUACAAUGUUCAUGUACAUGUAUAACACUGAUCCAUCUGGAUCUAUCUGGAGUGGUAUAUAAACUUCACUUGCCAUGCUUGUCGCAUACUGAACAUUUAACUCCUUUCCUUUAACAAUUUAAUAUACCCGGUACAUGAUUAUGAGGAUACAAACAAUUUAAUAUACAUGAUUAUGAUGAUACAUGUCAAGAUUGUUCACAGAAUGACAAUUGAGUUAUCAGGCAAUUAACUUUCACUGUCCCAUUAUUUAUCACACAAUUUUGGUUGAAAUCAAAUUAUGUUAUGCCCAAAUUGCAACAUGGCUACAGAUGCCUUAAGGUAGUCACUAAUUUUCCUUUAAAUUUUUUAUCAGACUAUGACAAUAACUGUAUGUGUAUAACUGUAAAUAAAAUGCUGAAUAUUUAUGCAUUUUUUUUAUAUGACAGUUAUUAAGCAGGUCUUGAAUGAAGUCUUGAUUAUGGAGGAUCUGUUUGUAAAUUCCUGACAUGAAAAAAAAAAUGACGGAGGGAGAAGUCCAGGUCAAUGUUAGAAGGACAAUUCAGCAAAGUUCCAACAGAUAUAAAAUGAAAUCUGAUUUUGAGGCAAAUAUAUAUAUGUAAGAUGAAUAGAAGACAUGAUACUCUAGCAGUGCUUCAGAAUCACACUACAGAAGUAUGAAGAAUUUUGAUUGUAAUCAAGUUAACCUGAAGCUUCAUAGUAAAACAGAUGCUAGGCAACACCUUCACUAUUCAAGUCAGACUAUUAAAGCAAGUUUUUUUGUUGAUAGCUGAACUUAUGAAGAAGAAAUCAAAGAGUGGAGCCUUUAGAAGAUAGAACAUUCAAAUAUUAUUUGUUACUAUUUCAGUAAUUAUAACUUAUCGAAUGUGAACUGUUGAACAUAUUCUUAAAUAUAAAUAUAAUUGAAUUUCAAGUUGGAAA
Long non-coding RNA from Mytilus trossulus (common blue mussel), 1100 nucleotides. RefSeq lists it as uncharacterized. The record is from RefSeq and is a predicted model, not a curated record. The transcript has 4 exons. Lineage: Eukaryota; Metazoa; Mollusca; Bivalvia; Mytilida; Mytilidae.